This 468-nucleotide ribosomal RNA is filed under the name uncultured bacterium. RNAcentral's name for it is "partial 16S ribosomal RNA". It matches the Rfam family "Bacterial small subunit ribosomal RNA", at positions 28 to 507 of the family's 1533-position model. The record is from RNAcentral.
GAUGAACGCUGGCGGCGUGCUUAACACAUGCAAGUCGAACGGAAAGGCCCAAGCUUGCUUGGGUACUCGAGUGGCGAACGGGUGAGUAACACGUGGGUGAUCUGCCCUGCACUUCGGGAUAAGCCUGGGAAACUGGGUCUAAUACCGGAUAGGACGAUGGUUUGGAUGCCAUUGUGGAAAGUUUUUUCGGUGUGGGAUGAGCUCGCGGCCUAUCAGCUUGUUGGUGGGGUAAUGGCCUACCAAGGCGUCGACGGGUAGCCGGCCUGAGAGGGUGUACGGCCACAUUGGGACUGGGAUACGGGCCAGACUCCUACGGGAGGCAGCAGUGGGGAAUAUUGCACAAUGGGCGCAAGCCUGAUGCAGCGACGCCGCGUGGGGGAUGACGGCCUUCGGGUUGUAAACUCCUUUCGCUAGGGACGAAGCGUUUUUGUGACGGUACCUGGAGAAGAAGCACCGGCUAACUACGUG